CCUACGGGAGACAGCAGUGGGGAAUAUUGCACAAUGGGGGAAACCCUGAUGCAGCAACGCCGCGUGAAGGAAGACGGUUUUCGGAUUGUAAACUUCUGUUCUUAGUGAAGAAUAAUGACGGUAGCUAAGGAGCCAGCCACGGCUAACUACGUGCCAGCAGCCGCGGUAAUACGUAGGUGGCAAGCGUUGUCCGGAAUUACUGGGUGGAAAGGGAGCGCAGGCGGGAAGCCAAGUCAGCUGUGAAAACUACGGGCUUAACUUGUAGACUGCAGUUGAAACUGGUUUUCUUGAGUGAAGUAGAGGUUGGCGGAAUUCCGAGUGUAGCGGUGAAAUGCGUAGAUAUUCGGAGGAACACCGGUGACGAAGGCGGCCAACUGGGCUUUAACUGACGCUGAGGCUCGAAAGUGUGGGGAGCAAACAGGAUUAGAUACCCUUGUAGUC
Molecule: ribosomal RNA, 441 nt
Filed under: uncultured bacterium
Lineage: Bacteria
Description: partial 16S ribosomal RNA
Rfam family: Bacterial small subunit ribosomal RNA
Source: RNAcentral